RNAcentral lists this ribosomal RNA (535 nucleotides) under uncultured bacterium. RNAcentral's name for it is "bacterial SSU rRNA". It matches the Rfam family "Bacterial small subunit ribosomal RNA", at positions 355 to 896 of the family's 1533-position model. The record is from RNAcentral.
UGGGGAAUCUUGCGCAAUGGGCGAAAGCCUGACGCAGCGACGCCGCGUGGGGGAUGAAGCUUUUCGGAGUGUAAACCCCUUUCGACCCGGAAGAAAGCCCGCAAGGGUCUGACGGUACGGGUAUAAGAAGCCCCGGCUAACUACGUGCCAGCAGCCGCGGUAAAACGUAGGGGGCCAGCGUUGCUCGGAAUUACUGGGCGUAAAGGGUUCGUAGGCGGUGUGGCAAGUUGGGAGUGAAAUCUCUGGGCUCAACCCAGAGGCUGCUUCCAAAACUGCUGUGCUUGAGUGUGAGAGAGGCUCGUGGAAUUGCAGGUGUAGCGGUGAAAUGCGUAGAUAUCUGCAGGAACACCCGUGGCGAAAGCGGCGAGCUGGAUCACUACUGACGCUGAGGAACGAAAGCUAGGGGAGCAAACAGGAUUAGAUACCCUGGUAGUCCUAGCCCUAAACGAUCAGGACUUGGGGUGCCGCCCGUUCGGGCGUCGUCCCGGAGCUAACGCGUUAAGUCCUGCACCUGGGGAGUACGGUCGCAAGACUG